RNAcentral lists this ribosomal RNA (799 nucleotides) under uncultured Pelagibacteraceae bacterium. RNAcentral's name for it is "bacterial SSU rRNA". It matches the Rfam family "Bacterial small subunit ribosomal RNA", at positions 44 to 890 of the family's 1533-position model. The record is from RNAcentral. Lineage: Bacteria; Pseudomonadati; Pseudomonadota; Alphaproteobacteria; Candidatus Pelagibacterales; Candidatus Pelagibacteraceae.
ACGCCUUAUACAUGCAAGUCGAACGCAGUAGCAAUACUGAGUGGCAGACGGGUGAGUAUUAAUGUGGGAAUCUGCCUUUUGGUUCGGAAUAACUCGGGGAAACUUGAGCUAAUACCGGAUAAGCCCUUACGGGGAAAGCUUUAUGCGCCAUUAGAUGAGCCCGCACUUGAUUAGCUAGUUGGUGAGGUAAAGGCUCACCAAGGCAACAAUCAAUAGCUGUUCUUAGAGGAAGACCAGCCACAUUGGGACUGAGACACGGCCCAGACUCCUACGGGAGGCAGCAGUAAGGAAUCUUGCACAAUGGGGGAAACCCUGAUGCAGCGAUGCCGCGUGAGUGAAGAAGGCCUUUGGGUUGUAAAACUCUUUCGUCGGGGAAGAAAAUGACUGUACCCGAAUAAGAAGGUCCGGCUAACUUCGUGCCAGCAGCCGCGGUAAUACGAAGGGACCUAGCGUAGUUCGGAAUUACUGGGCUUAAAGAGCUCGUAGGUGGUUAAAAAAGUUGAUGGUGAAAUCCCAAGGCUCAACCUUGGAACUGCCAUCAAAACUUUUUAGCUAGAGUGUGAUAGAGGAAAGUGGAAUUUCUAGUGUAGAGGUGAAAUUCGUAGAUAUUAGAAAGAACACCAAAAGCGAAGGCAACUUUCUGGAUCACUACUGACACUGAGGAGCGAAAGCAUGGGUAGCGAAGAGGAUUAGAUACCCUCGUAGUCCAUGCUGUAAACGAUGUGUGCUAGACGUUGGAAAUUUAUUUUCAGUGUCGCAGCGAAAGCGUUAAGCACACCGCCUGGGGAGUACGACCGCA